UACGGAGGGUGCAAGCGUUGUCCGGAUUUAUUGGGUUUAACGGGUGCGUAGGCGGUUCUUUAAGUCCGGGGUGAAAGCCCACUGCUCAACAGUGGAACUGCCCUGGAAACUGGAGAACUUGAGUACAGACGAGGGCGGCGGAAUGGAUGGUGUAGCGGUGAAAUGCAUAGAUACCAUCCAGAACCCCGAUUGCGAAGGCAGCUGCCUAGACUGUAACUGACGCUGAGGCACGAAAGCGUGGGGAGCGAACAGG
This 253-nucleotide ribosomal RNA is filed under the name uncultured bacterium. Its description in RNAcentral is "partial 16S ribosomal RNA". It matches the Rfam family "Bacterial small subunit ribosomal RNA", at positions 524 to 776 of the family's 1533-position model. The record is from RNAcentral.